GACGAACGCUGGCGGCGUGCUUAACACAUGCAAGUCGAACGGUGAAGCUCCAGCUUGCUGGAGUGGAUCAGUGGCGAACGGGUGAGUAACACGUGAGCAACCUGCCCCUGACCCUGGAAUAAGCGCUGGAAACGGCGUCUAAUACUGGAUACGAGAAGGGUCCGCAUGGGCACUUUCUGGAAAGUUUUUCGGUUGGGGAUGGGCUCGCGGCCUAUCAGCUUGUUGGUGAGGUAAUGGCUCACCAAGGCGACGACGGGUAGCCGGCCUGAGAGGGCGACCGGCCACACUGGGACUGAGACACGGCCCAGACUCCUACGGGAGGCAGCAGUGGGGAAUAUUGCACAAUGGGCGAAAGCCUGAUGCAGCGACGCCGCGUGAGGGAUGACGGCCUUCGGGUUGUAAACCUCUUUCAGCAGGGAAGAAGCGAAAGUGACGGUACCUGCAAAAGAAGCACCGGCUAACUACGUG
RNAcentral lists this ribosomal RNA (468 nucleotides) under uncultured bacterium. RNAcentral describes it as "partial 16S ribosomal RNA". It matches the Rfam family "Bacterial small subunit ribosomal RNA", at positions 28 to 507 of the family's 1533-position model. The record is from RNAcentral.